UGUAUAAUACCUGACUGGAGUGGCACAGUGCCUUCGGUCCCCAGGCGCCACAAUCACUUCACUAACCCCCUGUACUAGAGUGACGUUCAAGUGAAUAGCUCCACUGAUCACACUCUUUCCUGCUGAUUAACACUUUCCAACACGACCAGGCGCUCGGGUUCCAACUUUUCCUUUUAAAACAGCAGCAGCCAGCACUGCUUGCCUCCUCGGGUUAUAAACGCCGUCUGGGGCGUGGGGGACACCAUAAUUAAUAGCAGUUAACACUCCUCCUCCUCUCUCCAGCAUCCAAUUUCAUACCAGGGAGAGCUAUCAGUCCUAAGGACAAAGACAGUGUCUAUGGACACAGAGAUUUUUACCAAACCCUUGUUAAUCUUGAAGGAAAGGACUUCCUUGGGAAGAUAAUCCCAUUUCUUAUCUUUGCUCAUAUCCAGGGACAAUUUUGUGAGGUAAAAGAUACAGGGCAAAACUUUGCAUCUGCACGUGCUACAGAGAGCAAGUACUGUCUGGUAUUUCAAGCUUUUCACAAGGUUCCCAGGCCAGCCUGUGUUUCAGAUGGAUGUGGAGCAGAACAGAACAAGGACAGUUUAUCCAAGAACCAAGAAAAUGUCACCACCAUGCUCAAAUCCAGAGUGGCUAGGGAUGCAACGGAGCCAGCGGCAACAUCGGUGAAGCUGAUAGCUGAGGCUGACUGUCAUAACUUAGAGGAAAUUUCGGCUGAAACGACUUGAUAGAGAUGAAAGGUUUGCACAACAGCUGUUUCCAGAAUUCUCCAGCUCUCACCCAAGCUGGGUGGUCAUGGGCACAUAGUAAGCCAAAUAAUGAAGUCUGAGUGGGACAAGUGUGAGAAAAUCUGUUUCUUUCAAGCAUUACCAAAGUGCAGGCAGCCCCUCAGCUUCUUCAGACACUAUAGCAGAAGCUCAGCUGGAAAGCUGGAAACUUACCUUUUUUUUUUUUUUUUUGUUUCCACAAACUUCCAGCUUUAACCAAUAAUUAAAACCUUGAGCU
This 1005-nucleotide long non-coding RNA is filed under the name Anas platyrhynchos platyrhynchos (common mallard). RNAcentral's name for it is "lncRNA (ENSAPLG00000029588.1)". The record is from RNAcentral. Lineage: Eukaryota; Metazoa; Chordata; Aves; Anseriformes; Anatidae.